GAUGAACGCUGGCGGCGUGCCUAAUACAUGCAAGUCGAGCGAACAGACGAGGAGCUUGCUCCUCUGACGUUAGCGGCGGACGGGUGAGUAACACGUGGAUAACCUACCUAUAAGACUGGGAUAACUUCGGGAAACCGGAGCUAAUACCGGAUAAUAUAUUGAACCGCAUGGUUCAAUAGUGAAAGUCGGUUUUGCUGUCACUUAUAGAUGGAUCCGCGCCGCAUUAGCUAGUUGGUAAGGUAACGGCUUACCAAGGCAACGAUGCGUAGCCGACCUGAGAGGGUGAUCGGCCACACUGGAACUGAGACACGGUCCAGACUCCUACGGGAGGCAGCAGUAGGGAAUCUUCCGCAAUGGGCGAAAGCCUGACGGAGCAACGCUGCGUGAGUGAUGAAGGUCUUCGGAUCGUAAAACUCUGUUAUUAGGGAAGAACAAAUGUGUAAGUAACUAUGCACGUCUUGACGGUACCUAAUCAGAAAGCCACGGCUAACUACGUG
RNAcentral lists this ribosomal RNA (497 nucleotides) under uncultured bacterium. Its description in RNAcentral is "partial 16S ribosomal RNA". It matches the Rfam family "Bacterial small subunit ribosomal RNA", at positions 28 to 507 of the family's 1533-position model. The record is from RNAcentral.